This is a long non-coding RNA of Beta vulgaris subsp. vulgaris (sugar beet), 1142 nucleotides long. RefSeq lists it as uncharacterized. Lineage: Eukaryota; Viridiplantae; Streptophyta; Magnoliopsida; Caryophyllales; Amaranthaceae. The record is from RefSeq and is a predicted model, not a curated record. The transcript has 3 exons.
GAGUGAAAGAAAAAGAAAAGAAAUUACUGAAUUCUAAACGUACUAUUGGUUGGAAAUCCCACUUUCGUCUCUUACCGAUUUAGUUGACAAAAUUGAAGAAGGAAAUUCAAAAAAUAAAAAGAAACAUCCAAUCUAGAAAUUUCUUGAUAUAACUUUCUGUAGUCCCCCAAUCAGCAAUCUUCUUACCUUAUCUAUCAAAAUUAAUUUCCCAUCAUGCCUAAUCAAAUCCCUAAUCACUUAAGAUGAUAUCUUCAAUCAAUCACCUCCAUCUUAAAUCAACACUCUCCUAUAAAUAAUUUUCUUUUUAUGUUCUCAGCAUCUCACCAUUUCUCCUUAGCUUCCUUCUUCUAAUUAUUUUUCUCAAAUUUUAGUUUCAAAUUGAACUGAAUCUAAAAUUUGGUUGCGAAAUUGUUAGAAAGUUUGAAGAAUCAAAAGUUUGUUUGAUGCUCCCAAAAAACAUGAACUAGACGGAGAUUUUGUAGAAGGAGCUUUUUAGGGAUGACUUUAUUAUUUGUUUUUGAGCUACUCAAGAUGGCAAGACUUCACCAAACCGCAAGAAAAAGGCAGCGAGGAAACUCACUGGCCCUCUCUGCUUCACCUUACUUGAUCCGCAUGCGAUACGGGGAGGAUGUUUGUGAUUAUGUCCACCAUUUGGACUUGGCUAUUGAAAGCUACCAUUUCAAUGAUUUAUAUGAAGAUUCAGACUUUUGCACUCCUGAAAAGAAAGCAUAUGUUUUAUUGACAACCCUACCCGAGCGAGGACCAUUAGGAGCAAUCUAAAGAAAAUAAGGUGAUGUUUAUGUUAAUGAUACACUUAAUUUUGAGAGGUACACGCAUAUAGGAUCAUGGUUUCUGACUAUUGAGUAUCUACGAAGGGUCAUGAUUGAUGCUAUCGAAGAAUACUAUUACAAUCUCAAUCUGAAUGGCUCUAGUUCUGAUGAAGAAGAAGCUAAUAGAAGCCCUACCCCUACCCACCCUCUGUCCGAGAUGGAAGAUGAAGAGCCUAUGGAGGAUGAUGACCUUUAAGUUAUUCUUUCUUUUAUUUUAUUACGUGCAAUAAGAUUUUUAGAGCCAAUAGAUGUUAUGUUGAACAAGAUGUUAUGUUGAUUGAAUGAUUGAAUAAAAAUGUUUACAUUUUCUAA